UAAGAGGAACUCUAAUCAUAAUGUAUAUAUAGAGAUCGGUCUCCUCACAGGAAUAAAGCUAGCAUAGGAACUUCCGGUAAUAGACAGCAGACGACGAGCCAAGAAAAUCUAGGGUCUAUUCUAGGGAUUUUAAGUGUAUUAAGUUUAAAGGUUUAGUGAAUGUAAAACCUGUCAGGAUGUUUGUACUGUCAAGACAAACUGACGUUUUUUUUAAAAACAAACACAAGCCAGCGUGUUUGUAGAAACGAAAAAUACUUCAACACAAUAUUUGCUGAUAAAAAUAGCAAAUUCUACAAACUACUUUUGAACAACACUGAUGGAGAAAAUACUUAUAAUUUGGCCUUGAAACAGUUGAUGUUGUGCUGCAAAUUUAACGAGAUCACAGUUGUCAAAAAUGCCUCCCAGAAUUUCGAUAGUCUGAACUGGUGAAAUAAUUUCUUUGCAAUUGAUUUUAACACAUCUAUAUUUUCUUAGAGGACGAAAUCGAGUUAAACGCCUAGCUGGGUCAGCUAAAGAUUCUUCUUCAUAAAUAAUGAAGACAAAUAUUUUUGGAUCAAAUUUGCUCACUAGUCAUAACUAAGUUUACAAUUAUUAUUCAUUCACAAAAAUUCGGAAAUAUUUAAAUGAAUGGAAUGCAAACUUUUAACAAGUGAUGCAGACUAUCAUACAAGAUUUGUUUCGGAGAGAAGAAUCUUCUUUUGCGAAGCUGAAAUGGCAAAGGAAUAAUUAACAAACACAAUUUCAACAAAGAAAUGAAAUACAUUAACGUUGGAGAGGUAUCUAUUUGCAAAAUUGGAAGGGCUAGAGUAAACUGUUUAGUACGUUGUAAUUGUAAUUUUAGACUUUCUCCAAAAAAUUCGGUUUCGGGACGUCGAGAAACUUCGUGAAAAAAAUGUUGUAUGAUUCGAUGCAUAAUAUCAGAAAAUUUUGAAUUCUAUGUAACGCCAUCACCUGGAGGCUGGCUACCAACAAUAUUUUCUAA
Belonocnema kinseyi is the source of this 982-nucleotide long non-coding RNA. RefSeq lists it as uncharacterized. The transcript has 3 exons. The record is from RefSeq and is a predicted model, not a curated record. Lineage: Eukaryota; Metazoa; Arthropoda; Insecta; Hymenoptera; Cynipidae.